AUUAACCUAAAUUAACACCCACCAGCCCACAGAGACAGCAAGCAGAACAAAACCAGGAAGCUUUCCUGUUUAGAUUUUAGAGCUUAUACUACCAUGUGAUGUAAAUUUCUAUCACUUGAUCCCUCUGGAAGGGUUGAGCUUUUAUGUUUUAGAAUCAUUGUCAAGAUUACCCUCAUAAUCCAGAAAGAAGAAAUGCGUUUGCUUGAUUGUGCUUAUUUUCCAUAAGUAAUAGACAAUCACACAAAUAGAUAAAUGUUUCUCACAUUUUUUAAAUUUCUGCAAGAAAGAAAACUCCAAUCUCAUCUUGAAAUUCUUAUAUCUUCCUCCAGUUGGUUAGGACUCACCUAAGACAGCAGAAUCAUGAAAGUGACAUAUCAGUGGAGAUGUGAUUAUCGACCUGU
This 401-nucleotide long non-coding RNA is filed under the name Equus asinus (donkey). Its description in RNAcentral is "lncRNA (ENSEASG00005035747.1)". Lineage: Eukaryota; Metazoa; Chordata; Mammalia; Perissodactyla; Equidae. The record is from RNAcentral.